Molecule: unclassified non-coding RNA, 204 nt
Filed under: soil metagenome
Description: partial contains 5.8S ribosomal RNA, internal transcribed spacer 2, and large subunit ribosomal RNA
Source: RNAcentral
AACAAGGCGUACCUGCGGACCUGCGGAGGGAUCAUUACCGAGUUUACAACUCCCAAACCCCUGUGAACAUACCUAUACGUUGCCUCGGCGGAUCAGCCCGCGCCCUGUAAAAAGGGACGGCCCGCCCGAGGACCCUAAACUCUGUUUUUAGUGGAACUUCUGAGUAAAACAAACAAAUAAAUCAAAACUUUUAACAACGGAUCU